RNAcentral lists this ribosomal RNA (1640 nucleotides) under Tsukamurella pseudospumae. Its description in RNAcentral is "bacterial LSU rRNA". It matches the Rfam family "Bacterial large subunit ribosomal RNA", at positions 875 to 2400 of the family's 2925-position model. Lineage: Bacteria; Bacillati; Actinomycetota; Actinomycetes; Mycobacteriales; Tsukamurellaceae. The record is from RNAcentral.
UGCAGCGUCACGUGUUUCUUGCCGGAGGUAGAGCUACUGGAUGGCCGAUGGGCCCUCACAGGUUACUGACGUCAGCCAAACUCCGAAUGCCGGUAAGUGAGAACGUGGCAGUGAGACUGCGGGGGAUAAGCUUCGUAGUCGAGAGGGAAACAGCCCAGAUCGCCGGCUAAGGCCCCUAAGCGUGUACUAAGUGGAAAAGGAUGUCCGGUCGCGAAGACAACCAGGAGGUUGGCUUAGAAGCAGCCACCCUUGAAAGAGUGCGUAAUAGCUCACUGGUCUAGUGGCUGGGCGCCGACAAUUUAGCGGGGCUCAAGUACACCGCCGAAGCCGCGGCACUCACAUCUUUGGUGUGGGUGGGUAGGGGAGCGUCGUGCAGCCGUAGAAGCAGCAGGGUGACCUAGUUGUGGAGGCUGUGCGAGUGAGAAUGCAGGCAUGAGUAGCGAAUGACACGUGAGAAACGUGUCCUCCGGAUGACCAAGGGUUCCUGGGCUAGGUUAAUCCUCCCAGGGUGAGUCGGGACCUAAGGCGAGGCCGACAGGCGUAGUCGAUGGACAACGGGUUGAUAUUCCCGUACCCGUGUCAGAUCGCCCCUGAUGAAUCAGUUGUACUAACCGUCCUGAAGCUUACGGAUCACCUUCGGGUGACAGUUGAGUGGAUGCACGGGACCUCGGCUGGUAGUAGUCAAGCGAUGGGGUGACGCAGGAAGGUAGUGGGGCCAGUCAGUGGUUGUACUGGUGUAAGCCUGUAGGGCGAGAUCUAGGCAAAUCCGGAUCUCACAUAGCCUGAGAGGUGAUGCGUAGCCGUUGCGGUGAAUUCCAUGAUCCUAUGCUGCCGAGAAAAGCCUCUAGCGAGAUCUGAUGUGGCCCGUACCCCAAACCAACACAGGUGGUCAGGUAGAGAAUACCAAGGAGAUCGAGAGAACUGUGGUUAAGGAACUCGGCAAAAUGCCCCCGUAACUUCGGGAGAAGGGGGACCUCGCAUUGUGACCGGAUUUACUCCGUGAGCGGUGUGGGGUCGCAGAGACCAGAGAGAAGCGACUGUUUACUAAAAACACAGGUCCAUGCGAAGUCGUAAGACGAUGUAUAUGGACUGACGCCUGCCCGGUGCUGGAAGGUUAAGAGGACCGGUUAGCCGUAAGGCGAAGCUGAGAAUUUAAGCCCCAGUAAACGGCGGUGGUAACUAUAACCAUCCUAAGGUAGCGAAAUUCCUUGUCGGGUAAGUUCCGACCUGCACGAAUGGCGUAACGACUUCUCUGCUGUCUCAACCACAGACUCGGCGAAAUUGCAGUACGAGUAAAGAUGCUCGUUACGCGCGGCAGGACGAAAAGACCCCGGGACCUUCACUAUAGCUUGGUAUUGGUGUUCGGUUCGGUUUGUGUAGGAUAGGUGGGAGACUGUGAAGCGGGCACGCCAGUGUUCGUGGAGUCGUUGUUGAAAUACCACUCUGAUCGUAUUGGAUACCUCAACCUCGGACCAUGAUCUGGUUCAGGGACAGUGCCUGGUGGGUAGUUUAACUGGGGCGGUUGCCUCCCAAAAUGUAACGGAGGCGCCCAAAGGUUCCCUCAGCCUGGUUGGCAAUCAGGUGUUGAGUGCAAGUGCACAAGGGAGCUUGACUGUGAGACUGACAGGUCGAGCAGGGAC